This 600-nucleotide ribosomal RNA is filed under the name uncultured bacterium. Its description in RNAcentral is "bacterial SSU rRNA". It matches the Rfam family "Bacterial small subunit ribosomal RNA", at positions 28 to 601 of the family's 1533-position model. The record is from RNAcentral.
AGUGAACGCUGGCGGCGUGCUUAACACAUGCAAGUCGAACGCGAAAGGGGAGCAAUCCCCGAGUAGAGUGGCGAACGGGUGGGUAAUGUGUGGGUAAUUUGCCUUUCAGCGGGGGAUAACCCGGGGAAACCUGAGCUAAUACCCCAUAAUGUUGCUUGAUCUUCGGAUCGAGUAAUCAAACAAUGGCCUCUGCUUGCAAGCUAUCGCUGAAAGAUGAGCCCACAUCCUAUCACGCUUGUUGGUGGGGUAAUGGCCUACCAAGGCGACGACGGGUAGCCGGCCUGAGAGGGUGUCCGGCCACACUGGAACUGAGACACGGUCCAGACUCCUACGGGAGGCAGCAGUGGGGAAUUUUUCGCAAUGGGCGAAAGCCUGACGAAGCAACGCCGCGUGUAGGAUGAGGGCCCUAGCGGUCGUAAACUACUGUCUAGCGGGACGAUAGUAUUCGGAGUGAACAAUUCCGAAUAUUGACUGUACCGCUGGAGGAAGCUCCGGCUAACUCCGUGCCAGCAGCCGCGGUAAUACGGAGGGAGCCAGCGUUACUCGGAAUUAUUGGGCGUAACGGGCGCGUAGGCGAUCUAGCAAGUCUGGUGUGAAAGC